GACAGAGGUGCCAAGCGUUAGGCGGAAUCACUGGGCUUAAAGCGUGUGUAGGCGGAUGCCUAAGUACCUUGUGAAAUCCCUCGGCUCAACCGGGGAACUGCGUCCGAUACUGGCGGGCUUGAAUUCGGGAGAGGGAUGUGGAAUUCCAGGUGUAGCGGUGAAAUGCGUAGAUAUCAGGAGGAACACCGGUGGCGAAGGCGGGUCUCUGGGCAGUAACUGACGCUGAGGAGCGAAAGCGUGGGGAGCGAACAGG
This 253-nucleotide ribosomal RNA is filed under the name uncultured bacterium. RNAcentral's name for it is "partial 16S ribosomal RNA". It matches the Rfam family "Bacterial small subunit ribosomal RNA", at positions 524 to 776 of the family's 1533-position model. The record is from RNAcentral.